UUUAUGGAGAGUUUGAUCCUGGCUCAGGAUGAACGCUGGCGGCGUGCCUAAUACAUGCAAGUCGAGCGAACGGACGAGAAGCUUGCUUCUCUGAUGUUAGCGGCGGACGGGUGAGUAACACGUGGAUAACCUACCUAUAAGACUGGGAUAACUUCGGGAAACCGGAGCUAAUACCGGAUAAUAUUUUGAACCGCAUGGUUCAAAAGUGAAAGACGGUCUUGCUGUCACUUAUAGAUGGAUCCGCGCUGCAUUAGCUAGUUGGUAAGGUAACGGCUUACCAAGGCAACGAUGCAUAGCCGACCUGAGAGGGUGAUCGGCCACACUGGAACUGAGACACGGUCCAGACUCCUACGGGAGGCAGCAGUAGGGAAUCUUCCGCAAUGGGCGAAAGCCUGACGGAGCAACGCCGCGUGAGUGAUGAAGGUCUUCGGAUCGUAAAACUCUGUUAUUAGGGAAGAACAUAUGUGUAAGUAACUGUGCACAUCUUGACGGUACCUAAUCAGAAAGCCACGGCUAACUACGUGCCAGCAGCCGCGGUAAUACGUAGGUGGCAAGCGUUAUCCGGAAUUAUUGGGCGUAAAGCGCGCGUAGGCGGUUUUUUAAGUCUGAUGUGAAAGCCCACGGCUCAACCGUGGAGGGUCAUUGGAAACUGGAAAACUUGAGUGCAGAAGAGGAAAGUGGAAUUCCAUGUGUAGCGGUGAAAUGCGCAGAGAUAUGGAGGAACACCAGUGGCGAAGGCGACUUUCUGGUCUGUAACUGACGCUGAUGUGCGAAAGCGUGGGGAUCAAACAGGAUUAGAUACCCUGGUAGUCCACGCCGUAAACGAUGAGUGCUAAGUGUUAGGGGGUUUCCGCCCCUUAGUGCUGCAGCUAACGCAUUAAGCACUCCGCCUGGGGAGUACGACCGCAAGGUUGAAACUCAAAGGAAUUGACGGGGACCCGCACAAGCGGUGGAGCAUGUGGUUUAAUUCGAAGCAACGCGAAGAACCUUACCAAAUCUUGACAUCCUUUGACAACUCUAGAGAUAGAGCCUUCCCCUUCGGGGGACAAAGUGACAGGUGGUGCAUGGUUGUCGUCAGCUCGUGUCGUGAGAUGUUGGGUUAAGUCCCGCAACGAGCGCAACCCUUAAGCUUAGUUGCCAUCAUUAAGUUGGGCACUCUAAGUUGACUGCCGGUGACAAACCGGAGGAAGGUGGGGAUGACGUCAAAUCAUCAUGCCCCUUAUGAUUUGGGCUACACACGUGCUACAAUGGACAAUACAAAGGGCAGCGAAACCGCGAGGUCAAGCAAAUCCCAUAAAGUUGUUCUCAGUUCGGAUUGUAGUCUGCAACUCGACUACAUGAAGCUGGAAUCGCUAGUAAUCGUAGAUCAGCAUGCUACGGUGAAUACGUUCCCGGGUCUUGUACACACCGCCCGUCACACCACGAGAGUUUGUAACACCCGAAGCCGGUGGAGUAACCUUUUAGGAGCUAG
Molecule: ribosomal RNA, 1471 nt
Filed under: Staphylococcus aureus
Lineage: Bacteria; Bacillati; Bacillota; Bacilli; Caryophanales; Staphylococcaceae
Description: bacterial SSU rRNA
Rfam family: Bacterial small subunit ribosomal RNA
Source: RNAcentral